UAUGCAGUGAUUCAAAGAUUCCAGACGCACAGGCUGCAUAUGAAAAGGCGAUAUCCUUCUUUUUACAUGCUUUUUCUGGAAAUGACCUCAUCUGGGGGGCAG
Hadesarchaea archaeon YNP_N21 is the source of this 102-nucleotide non-coding RNA. The record is from Rfam. Lineage: Archaea; Methanobacteriati; Hadarchaeota (SeqCode); Hadarchaeia (SeqCode).